AGGGCAUGGAUGUUCAGUCCAUACUUCUCAACUUAAAAAAGUUGUAUGGAGAACAAAACCAAACUACUAGAUAUAAGAUAUCUAAGCAAUUAUCCUAUAGCAAUAUGAUAAGGAAGAAGGGGAAGUCUGUUUACAAAUAAAGUACUUAUUUUCUAUGCAGUGAGGAAGGCCACUGGAAAAGGGAUUGUAAGAAUUUUCUUAUAAUUGUAAAGCCU
RNAcentral lists this long non-coding RNA (215 nucleotides) under Elaeis guineensis (African oil palm). RNAcentral's name for it is "long non-coding RNA (EGUI_LNC070640)". The record is from RNAcentral. Lineage: Eukaryota; Viridiplantae; Streptophyta; Magnoliopsida; Arecales; Arecaceae.